RNAcentral lists this ribosomal RNA (252 nucleotides) under uncultured bacterium. RNAcentral describes it as "partial 16S ribosomal RNA". It matches the Rfam family "Bacterial small subunit ribosomal RNA", at positions 524 to 776 of the family's 1533-position model. The record is from RNAcentral.
UACGUAGGGGGCAAGCGUUGUCCGGAAUUAUUGGGCGUAAAGCGCGCGCAGGCGGUCAUUUAAGUUGGGUGUUUAAAGCCGGGGCUCAACCCCGGUGCGCAUCCGAAACUGGGUGACUUGAGUGUAGGAGAGGAAAGUGGAAUUCCACGUGUAGCGGUGAAAUGCGUAGAGAUGUGGAGGAACACCAGUGGCGAAGGCGACUUUCUGGCCUAUAACUGACGCUGAGGCGCGAGAGCGUGGGGAGCAAACAGG